Molecule: ribosomal RNA, 955 nt
Filed under: Xandrames dholaria
Lineage: Eukaryota; Metazoa; Arthropoda; Insecta; Lepidoptera; Geometridae
Description: partial 16S rRNA
Source: RNAcentral
AAAGAGUUAAAUAAUUAAUAAAGUUAUUGUAGCAAAAUUAUUUUAAAUAAUUAUUUUGAAAUGAAAUGUUAUUCGUUUUUAAAUAUAUCUAGUUUUUUUAGAAAAAAAUUUAAUUUUAAAUUUAAUAUUUUAAAUAAAUUAAUUAAUUAAUUUAUUUAAAUUUAAUUUUUAUAUUUUAAGGGAUAAGCUUUAAAUUAAAUUUUUAUAAUUAUUUUUUUUUUAUUGAAAAUUUUAUAAUUUAUAUUGUUAAUAAAUUUUAUUUUAUUAUAAAUAAUUUCAUUUAAAUAUAAAAUUUAAAAAUUUAUUUAAUUUUUUAUAAAAAAAUAGUUUUUAAUAAAAAAAAAAUUAAAUAUAAUGAUAAAAUUAGUAUAUUAAAUUAUAUAUUUAAUUUUAAAUUUAUAUUAUUAAAUUAAUUAAUUAAAAGGAAUUCGGCAAAUAUUUAUUUUCACUUGUUUAUCAAAAACAUGUCUUUUUGUUUAUAAUUUAAAGUCUAAUCUGCCCCCUGAUUUAAAUUAAAGGGCUGCAGUAUUUUGACUGUACAAAGGUAGCAUAAUCAUUAGUCUCUUAAUUGGUGACUUGUAUGAAAGAUUGAAUGAAAAAUAUACUGUCUCUUAAUUAAUUUAUAGAAUUUAAUUUUUUAUUUAAAAAGUUAAAAUAUAUUAAAAAGACGAGAAGACCCUAUAGAGUUUUAUAAAUAUUUUUAUAUUUAAUUUCAUUUAUUAUAAUAAGAUUUUUAUAAGUUUAUUUAUUUUGUUGGGGUGAUAAGAAAAUAAAAUUAACUUUUUUAAAAUUUAACAAAAAUAUAUGAUUAAAUGAUCCAAUAUUAUUGAUUAUAAGAUUAAAUUACCUUAGGGAUAACAGCGUAAUUUUUUUUUUUAGUUCAAAUAAGAAAAAAAGUUUGCGACCUCGAUGUUGGAUUAAGAUAAAAUUUAAAUGCAAAAGUUUAAAAUUUUUG